Molecule: ribosomal RNA, 580 nt
Filed under: fungal endophyte
Lineage: Eukaryota; Fungi
Description: eukaryotic LSU rRNA
Rfam family: 5.8S ribosomal RNA (bases 227-382)
Source: RNAcentral
AACCAGCGGARGGAUCAUUACCGAGUUUACAACUCCCAAANCCAAUGGUGAACGUUACCAAACUGUUUGCCUCGGNGGGAUCUCUGNCCCGGGUGCGUCGCAGCCCCGGACCAAGGCGCCCGCCGGAGGACCAACCUAAAACUCUUAUUGUAUACCCCCUCGCAGGGUUUUUUUAUAAUCUGAGCCUUCUCGGCGCCUCUCUGUAGGCGUUUCGAAAAUGAAUCAAAACUUUCAASAACGGAUCUACUUGGUUCUGGCAUCGAUGAAGAACGCAGCGAAAUGCGAUAAGUAAUGUGAAUUGCAGAAUUCAGUGAAUCAUCGAAUCUUUGAACGCACAUUGCGCCCGCACAGUAUUCUGGCGGGCAUGCCUGUCCGAGCGUCAUUUCAACCCUCGAACCCCUCCGGGGGGUCGGCGUUGGGGAUCGGCCCUCCCUUAGGCGGGUGCGCCGUCUCCGAAAUACAGUGGCGGUACUCGCCGCAGCCUCUCCUGCGMAGUAGUUUGCACACUCGCAUCGGGAGCGCGGCGCGUCCACAGCCGUUAAACACCCAACUUCUGAAAUGUUGACCUCGGAUCAGGUAG